GGCGGGGUGGUCGAGUGGUUAGGCAGCGGCCUGCAAAGCCGUGAACGCCGGUUCAAAUCCGGUCCCCGCCU
This 71-nucleotide transfer RNA is filed under the name Acidimicrobiales bacterium. RNAcentral describes it as "tRNA-Cys". It matches the Rfam family "tRNA". Rfam says of the family: Transfer RNA (tRNA) molecules are approximately 80 nucleotides in length. Their secondary structure includes four short double-helical elements and three loops (D, anti-codon, and T loops). The record is from RNAcentral. RNAcentral also lists the same sequence under 2 other names. Lineage: Bacteria; Bacillati; Actinomycetota; Acidimicrobiia; Acidimicrobiales.